This 464-nucleotide ribosomal RNA is filed under the name Vreelandella stevensii. Its description in RNAcentral is "partial 16S ribosomal RNA". It matches the Rfam family "Bacterial small subunit ribosomal RNA", at positions 339 to 795 of the family's 1533-position model. The record is from RNAcentral. Lineage: Bacteria; Pseudomonadati; Pseudomonadota; Gammaproteobacteria; Oceanospirillales; Halomonadaceae.
CCUCGGGCGGCAGCAGUGGGGAAUAUUGGACAAUGGGCGAAAGCCUGAUCCAGCCAUGCCGCGUGUGUGAAGAAGGCCUUCGGGUUGUAAAGCACUUUCAGUGGGGAAGAAAGCCUUGGGGCUAAUACCCUCGAGGAAGGACAUCACCCACAGAAGAAGCACCGGCUAACUCCGUGCCAGCAGCCGCGGUAAUACGGAGGGUGCGAGCGUUAAUCGGAAUUACUGGGCGUAAAGCGCGCGUAGGCGGUCUGAUAAGCCGGUUGUGAAAGCCCCGGGCUCAACCUGGGAACGGCAUCCGGAACUGUCAGGCUAGAGUGCAGGAGAGGAAGGUAGAAUUCCCGGUGUAGCGGUGAAAUGCGUAGAGAUCGGGAGGAAUACCAGUGGCGAAGGCGGCCUUCUGGACUGACACUGACGCUGAGGUGCGAAAGCGUGGGUAGCAAACAGGAUUAGAUACCCUAGUAGUC